AGGCGCGUAGCUCAGUGGGAGAGCACUACCCCGACACGGUAGUGGUCGACGGUUCAAUCCCGUCCGCGCCUACGA
This 75-nucleotide transfer RNA is filed under the name SAR324 cluster bacterium. Its description in RNAcentral is "tRNA-Val". It matches the Rfam family "tRNA". From Rfam's summary of the family: Transfer RNA (tRNA) molecules are approximately 80 nucleotides in length. Their secondary structure includes four short double-helical elements and three loops (D, anti-codon, and T loops). Lineage: Bacteria; Deltaproteobacteria. The record is from RNAcentral.